AGCAGCCGCGGUAAUUCCAGCUCCAAUAGCGUAUAUUAAAGUUGUUGCAGUUAAAAGCUCGUAGUUGAAUUUCGGGAUCAAUUAAUUGGUCGUGCCUCUGGUACGUACUGGUUUUAUUGGUUUCUCCCUUCUGACGAACCAUGAUGUCAUUAAUUUGGUGUCGUGGAGAAUCAGGACUGUUACUUUGAAAAAUUAGAGUGUUUAAAGCAAGCUAACGCUUGAAUACAUUAGCAUGGAAUAAUGAAAUAGGACGUUUGAUCCUAUUUUGUUGGUUUCUAGGAUCGACGUAAUGAUUAAUAGGGAUAGUUGGGGGCAUUAGUAUUCAAUUGUCAGAGGUGAAAUUCUUGGAUUUAUUGAAGACUAACUACUGCGAAAAGCAUUUGCCAAGGAUGUUUUCAUUAAUCAAGAACGAAAGUUAGGGAUCGAAGACGAUCAGAUACCGUCGUAGUCUUAACCAUAAACUAUGCCGACUAGGGAUCGGAUGAUGUUAAUUUUUUAAUGACUCAUUCGGCGCCUUAAC
RNAcentral lists this unclassified non-coding RNA (520 nucleotides) under uncultured Glomus. RNAcentral's name for it is "SSU rRNA". It matches the Rfam family "Eukaryotic small subunit ribosomal RNA", at positions 569 to 1092 of the family's 1831-position model. Lineage: Eukaryota; Fungi; Glomeromycota; Glomeromycetes; Glomerales; Glomeraceae. The record is from RNAcentral.